UACGUAGGGUGCAAGCGUUGUUCGGAAUCAUUGGGCGUAAAGCGCGUGUAGGUGGCUAUUUAAGUCGAGUGUGAAAUCCCUGGGCUCAACCGAGGAAGUGCAUUCGAAACUAGCUGGCUAGAGGACAGUAGAGGAAGGUGGAGUUCCAAGUGUAGAGGUGAAAUUCGUAGAUAUUUGGAGGAAUACCGGCGGCGAAGGCGGCCUUCUGGGCUGUUCCUGACACUGAGACGCGAAAGCGUGGGGAGCAAACAGG
Molecule: ribosomal RNA, 253 nt
Filed under: uncultured bacterium
Lineage: Bacteria
Description: partial 16S ribosomal RNA
Rfam family: Bacterial small subunit ribosomal RNA
Source: RNAcentral